CAGGCCCAAGUUCCCUCAUGCGCCUGUCCAGGCCUGCCCAAUCCGUGGCCACCUCCUCAGCUGGUCCUGCAGAGGCUCCAACCCUGUUGGGGCUGCAUAUCCCCUGUUCGUGCUGCCCGCCCGCUGGCUAAUUCUGAUUAUUUCUCCUUCUCCUUGCUCUCUUGGGCGCCUUUAUUCCUGAUCGUGCAUUUUCUCUGGACUCAGGAUUAAAAAAACCCACGCUGCUAAUAUCCUUGUCAGCCUUUUCCUGAAUCAUUGCUGUGCAGCUCCAAGGAGCCACGGGCCAGUGCCUUCCGACUGACAGACUCCGUCCCUGGGCCUUCCUGUCCUUGGGGUCCUGGAGCUCUCUGUCUGGGCCUCCUUGGCCACUGAAGCAACACCCAGAGGCCAGCAUCCUCUAAGAAAUGCCAGCCAGGGUUGCAGAUGGAGCCAAGAAUUGAAAAUCUGGCCGAGUCUUUCCAUCUCACAGAUGAGCAAGCUGAACCUCAGAGGGCUUAGUGAUGUGCUUGAGGCACAGCUACCAAGGAUCAAUGACUGAGCCUCAAAACCACCUCUUCUGAGAGUACUGCUUUCUUACCUGAGGAUGGCCCAUCAGGGUGAUCUGGAAGGCAGAAGAUGGGAGUUUUUCUGUGAACUCACUGUGGUGGGGGUGGUCCUUGGAAAAGUACUGAGUACACAGAAGUGGCGACGGGCAAAUGGAGAUCCUGGAAAAGGAGGUUUUCUACCAAAAUAUCCUUGUGAACAUGAGGACAGCUUCGAAACUGAGAAAGAGUGGGCUCGAGAAAGCUCUAAUGCUUCUUUCCCUGACACGAAGUGCUUCGUGCAGUGUUUGGCAUCAACAUGUCGGAGCCGUGGCAACGUUCUCCGUGCAUCCCCGCUUGGGCGUCAUUUUAGACAUAUAUUCACAGACAUGUGUACAUCUUUAUGCCCACACAUAAGGGUAGCAGCAGCCUUGCUUCAGAGGCCACACCUUCCAGGAAACCCUUCAGCCUGCCGUGUCUUAGCUGAUCCCUCUGCCAUCCCCUUGCAGAAGGAGCUUGGAGUCUCUCAGCUCAGCUGGACUAGAUGAAUCUUCUCAGGGUCGUCUUCUCCCACCUCUGGCUCCCAGUUCCUUCCCCCAAUCUCUCCCUCCCUGCUCUGUGAGAUCAGCGAAGCUGCAAACCCAACCCUUACAUCAAAAGGGAACUUGAAAAAUACUUGGAGCAAAAACUGCUAACUGUGCAUCCUUGCUGUAUGCUGGCGCUGAUAUUAAAUCAGGAAAUGGCACUGAACAGCCGCUCCGAACACAGAAACAGGGGUUGUCAACACAGCAACCAAAAGCAAUCUCUAACGGGCAGAGGUGAAAGGGACCUGGCACGGGGCCGGGAGGGGGGCUGCAACCCAGGAAAGAAUUCCUGAGCUGAGUGUGUCUGUGCCACCUCUCCAGUGUCCAGAAUGAAGCCUGGAUCUCUGUCCCUGGCAUGGAAUGCACCUUGUCUCCAUGAGGGAUGAAAGAUAAUUAAGCAUGUUGCUUAAAUACCUUUGAAAUUCUCCUUUUUAUUUCCAUACAUGUUUACCGAGCACCUACUAUGUGCCUGACAGUCCAAUAAAAAAGAUGCCUUCCCAUGUGGAGAUGACCUUCUAGCCCUCAGGACAGAACUCUGACCCUUUGACAUGGCAUUCAAGGUCCUUCGAGUGUUGGCUCCUGCGGAAGCUUUCAUCUCUGUUUCCAGCCUCCCUGAAAUAGCUCCCCAAGGGCACGAGGCAGUACCUUUGCUCCAUGCCUUUGCUUGGACUAGUCCUACCACCAGCUCUUCCUGCAUUUCUGUGUUUGGCAAAUUUCUGCUCAGCCUCCAAAGCCUUAACCAAGUGUCACCUUUUCUCUGCAGCAUUUUCUGCCACCCUCCCCAUUUCUUCUAAUAGAACCAGGGAUCAUUUACUUGGGAUCCAGCAGCACUGUGGACAUACUGCCAUCACAACACCUUUCAUGUCACAAUGGCAAGGUUUGCACUGUCUUGGAGGAGAGGAAAGAAGCCAUAUUCAUCCCCGAACCCUAAUCUCCCAGCACUGGUUGUAAAACUGAAACAAAAAUGAAAAACCUUGAUGAAAUUCGUUGUUGGUGUGGCUAUGGGGAAACAGAUUUUCCAUUUCUGAUAGUAAAUGAAAUAGGUACCA
Gorilla gorilla gorilla (western lowland gorilla) is the source of this 2154-nucleotide long non-coding RNA. RefSeq lists it as uncharacterized. Lineage: Eukaryota; Metazoa; Chordata; Mammalia; Primates; Hominidae. The transcript is spliced from 5 exons. The record is from RefSeq and is a predicted model, not a curated record.